This 625-nucleotide ribosomal RNA is filed under the name Bembidion sp. CA62. RNAcentral's name for it is "SSU rRNA". It matches the Rfam family "Eukaryotic small subunit ribosomal RNA", at positions 10 to 604 of the family's 1831-position model. Lineage: Eukaryota; Metazoa; Arthropoda; Insecta; Coleoptera; Carabidae. The record is from RNAcentral.
GAUCCUGCCAGUAGUCAUAUGCUUGUCUCAAAGAUUAAGCCAUGCAUGUCUCAGUACAAGCCAAAUUAAGGUGAAACCGCGAAAGGCUCAUUAAAUCAGUUAUGGUUCCUUAGAUCGUACCCACAUUUACUUGGAUAACUGUGGUAAUUCUAGAGCUAAUACAUGCAAACAGAGCUCCGACCGGAGACGGGAGGAGUGCUUUUAUUAGAUCAAAACCAAUCGGCGUCAGUACGUUUCGGCGUUACUGUUCGUCGCACUUUUUGGUGACUCUGAAUAACUUUUGGCUGAUCGCACGGUCUUGCACCGGCGACGCAUCUUUCAAAUGUCUGCCUUAUCAACUGUCGAUGGUAGGUUCUGCGCCUACCAUGGUUGUAACGGGUAACGGGGAAUCAGGGUUCGAUUCCGGAGAGGGAGCCUGAGAAACGGCUACCACAUCCAAGGAAGGCAGCAGGCGCGCAAAUUACCCACUCCCGGCACGGGGAGGUAGUGACGAAAAAUAACGAUACGGGACUCAUCCGAGGCCCCGUAAUCGGAAUGAGUACACUUUAAAUCCUAUAACAAGGACCAAUUAGAGGGCAAGUCUGGUGCCAGCCGCCGCGGUAACUCCAGCUCUAAUAGCGUAUAU